RNAcentral lists this unclassified non-coding RNA (332 nucleotides) under soil metagenome. RNAcentral describes it as "partial contains 5.8S ribosomal RNA, internal transcribed spacer 2, and large subunit ribosomal RNA". The stretch from base 1 to 120 matches the Rfam family "5.8S ribosomal RNA", at positions 35 to 154 of the family's 154-position model. The record is from RNAcentral.
GAUGAAGAACGUAGCGAAAUGCGAUACGUAGUGUGAAUUGCAGAAUUCAGUGAAUCAUCGAAUCUUUGAACGCACAUUGCGCCCUUUGGUAUUCCUUAGGGCAUGCCUGUUCGAGCGUCAUUUAAACCUUCAAGCUAAGCUUGGUGUUGGGUGACUGUCCGCUUCACGGCGGACUCGCCUCAAAAUUAUUGGCGGCCGGUACAUUGGCUUCGAGCGCAGCAGAAACGCGAACUCNNGCCCGUCGUAUUGGCUCCCAGAAGCUAUCUUCACAAUUUUGACCUCGGAUCAGGUAGGGAUACCCGCUGAACUUAAGCAUAUCAAUAAGCGGAGGA